GACGAACGCUGGCGGCGUGCUUAACACAUGCAAGUCGAACGAUGAACCCGGGGCUUGCUCCGGCGGAUUAGUGGCGAACGGGUGAGUAACACGUGAGUAACCUGCCCUUGACUCUGGGAUAACUGCGAGAAACUGUAGCUAAUACCGGAUACGACCCUCGGCGGCAUCGCCAGGGGGUGGAAAGAAUUUCGGUCAAGGAUGGACUCGCGGCCUAUCAGCUAGUUGGUGAGGUAACGGCUCACCAAGGCGACGACGGGUAGCCGGCCUGAGAGGGUGACCGGCCACACUGGGACUGGGACACGGCCCAGACUCCUACGGGAGGCAGCAGUGGGGAAUAUUGCACAAUGGGCGCAAGCCUGAUGCAGCAACGCCGCGUGAGGGAUGACGGCCUUCGGGUUGUAAACCUCUUUUAGUAGGGAAGAAGCGAAAGUGUCGGUACCUGCAGAAAAAGCACCGGCUAACUACGUGCCAGCCGCCGCCGUAA
This 484-nucleotide ribosomal RNA is filed under the name uncultured bacterium. RNAcentral describes it as "partial 16S ribosomal RNA". It matches the Rfam family "Bacterial small subunit ribosomal RNA", at positions 28 to 523 of the family's 1533-position model. The record is from RNAcentral.